GACGAACGCUGGCGGCGUGCCUAAUACAUGCAAGUUGAGCGAUGAAGAUUGGUGCUUGCCCCAAUUUGAAGAGCAGCGAACGGGUGAGUAACGCGUGGGGAAUCUGCCUUUGAGCGGGGGACAACAUUUGGAAACGAAUGCUAAUACCGCAUAACAACUUUAAACAUAAGUUUUAAGUUUGAAAGAUGCAAUUGCAUCACUCAAAGAUGAUCCCGCGUUGUAUUAGCUAGUUGGUGAGGUAAAGGCUCACCAAGGCGAUGAUACAUAGCCGACCUGAGAGGGUGAUCGGCCAACUUGGGACUGAGACACGGCCCAAACUCCUACGGGAGGCAGCAGUAGGGAAUCUUCGGCAAUGGACGAAAGUCUGACCGAGCAACGCCGCGUGAGUGAAGAAGGUUUUCGGAUCGUAAAACUCUGUUGGUAGAGAAGAACGUUGGUGAGAGUGGAAAGCUCAUCAAGUGACGGUAACUACCCAGAAAGGGACGGCUAACUACGUG
Molecule: ribosomal RNA, 497 nt
Filed under: uncultured bacterium
Lineage: Bacteria
Description: partial 16S ribosomal RNA
Rfam family: Bacterial small subunit ribosomal RNA
Source: RNAcentral